This 75-nucleotide transfer RNA is filed under the name Arthrobacter phage Molivia. Its description in RNAcentral is "tRNA-Pro". The record is from RNAcentral. Lineage: Duplodnaviria; Heunggongvirae; Uroviricota; Caudoviricetes.
CUAGCGGCGGUGUUGGGUGACACGCUACCCUCGUGGAGAGGGUAGAGUAAGGGGUUCGACUCCCCUCUGCUGGAC